CCUACGGGAGGCAGCAGUGGGGAAUGUUGGACAAUGGGCGCAAGCCUGAUCCAGCUAUUCCGCGUGUGGGAAGACGGCCUUCGGGUUGUAAACCACUUUUGUAGAGAACGAAAAGUCUGUUGAUAAUACCGAUAGAUGAUGACGGUACUCUAAGAAUAAGCACCGGCUAACUACGUGCCAGCAGCCGCGGUAAUACGGAGGAUGCGAGCGUUAUCCGGAUUUAUUGGGUUUAAAGGGUGCGCAGGCGGAAGAUCAAGUCAGCGGUAAAAUUGAGAGGCUCAACCUCUUCGAGCCGUUGAAACUGGUUUUCUUGAGUGAGCGAGAAGUAUGCGGAAUGCGUGGUGUAGCGGUGAAAUGCAUAGAUAUCACGCAGAACUCCGAUUGCGAAGGCAGCAUACCGGCGCUCAACUGACGCUCAUGCACGAAAGUGUGGGUAUCGAACAGGAUUAGAUACCCUAGUAGUC
This 464-nucleotide ribosomal RNA is filed under the name uncultured bacterium. Its description in RNAcentral is "partial 16S ribosomal RNA". It matches the Rfam family "Bacterial small subunit ribosomal RNA", at positions 338 to 795 of the family's 1533-position model. The record is from RNAcentral.